UUGCCUUUCGGAUCCUAGCCAUCCAGAGGCAUCUUUUAAGAAGUUUCUCUCGGAAUGGGGCCUUCCCAAUCCUGUUAGAGCGCAAUGCCAUACUUUUAGAAGAUGUCAGUGCUGUGGAAUGAGAUGGCCAACCAUCAUAUGUAUGCUGCAACUCAGAGAUACAGCUGUGAAUUCUCAGAAUACGGUACUGAUGGCCCUGUCGUCCAAUGCAUCCAAUGUCUGAUUUUCAUCUUGGCCAGCUGUGAGCGUUAACCAAGACUUUUCUCUCUGUGUGCCUGUAAAAAUUUUGUAGGUCCAGGAUGGUUGGAUAUUAUUUCAUAAAGCCUUAGUCUAUUCUACUAUGCCUUAGACAAAACUCAACCAUUCUCUUCCAUGAUGUAGAAUGGCUACUAAAAAGGAAGAAGAAAAGAAAGCUUUCAGAGGACAGUGGUAAACAAAUGCAUUAUGAUUUACUUAACAGGGAACUGUAAGUUUUUUAUGUCCAAGAACAUAGAACUUGCUUUUUUAAAAUACUUUCUAAAAAUUUUCUUUUCUUUUGUUUCUUUCUCCCCCCCCCAGAAGAGCUAUAGAGAAAAUCCCUUCUGGGAGCACCAUGAUCCCCAGGGAGCACUAUGAUACCUGGAGGCGGUAGAGGUAAGCUGGUAGGUUUGUCAAACCUGCUUCAGGGACACUCCAUGUGGUCCUGGGCUGAGAUAUUUUUGAAGCUGGUGCAAGCAGCAGUGGGGAAAUGGGGGCCUAGUGGUAUGGUGGUCAUUCCAGAAAUGUAACCCCUCAGAAACGUGCUACCCAGCCUCUUAUAAGAAGGGUAAAACAAAUAAAGCUGCUGCCUAUUUGGAACA
This 839-nucleotide long non-coding RNA is filed under the name Felis catus (domestic cat). RNAcentral's name for it is "lncRNA (ENSFCAG00000047520.1)". The record is from RNAcentral. Lineage: Eukaryota; Metazoa; Chordata; Mammalia; Carnivora; Felidae.